Molecule: long non-coding RNA, 1579 nt
Organism: Mustela erminea (ermine)
Lineage: Eukaryota; Metazoa; Chordata; Mammalia; Carnivora; Mustelidae
Exons: 3
Source: RefSeq, a predicted model, not a curated record
CUCCAAAGAAAGAAACACUGCAGGCUAACCAGGAUGAUGCUGGUAGCCGAGAAGCACACCCAAGCCCCUAUUAUAAGCUGGAUCCAGGAGACAUUUCAUGUAUCCUGUAAUGAUAUUCCAAGAGGCUGACGUGGUUAUUUCCACCCCAAGUGCUUGGCCCCACUCUCCAGCUCUGGGCUCCGUAACCCAUGGCAACAAGAGAAGGGAAGCAGAGUGAAGAAUGGAAACGAGAUUCAAGACAUCUUUCAAAGAUGAAGCUGACAUUGAUUUGAAGCAGAAGUUUUGGUGGGAUGCCCUCACCUAUAUGGACAACUGGCUUGUUUCAGGUGGGGCUUUUCUGGAAGGUGACCAGAAGCCCAGAACACUUAAAAUCAUGGGUCAUCUCAGAAGACUGAGUGAAGACUUAGGGUCCCUCCUUUCUCUCUUCUAAACUACUGAUUUAAAAAUAAACCUUUGGAGAACUAUACUUUCAUUAGGUGGGACACAGCCCUGUCUGAGGCACUGUACAUGGAUUACACAUUUAAUACACACAACACUCCAACAGUGGACACCACAAUGCCCUUAUCUAGGUGGGGAUAUUACAGGAGAGGUAAAAGCGUGUAACUUACCUAAGGGUUCACAGCUGAUAAAGUGGUAGAACUGAGAUGGAAUUCAUACAUGCCCAUUUGACUUCAAAAACUGUUUUAAAUUGUCUACAUUACAACAUGCAUUAAGAUAUAUGAACCACCUGGGCUUCUCAAGUUCAACUGAUUUUGGCCUACAAAAUGGCAGUUUCAUAUGGUUCAACCAAAUACUUCAUUUGACACAUAGCAUAUAUUUCAUUUGACCUAUGGCCUUGAUCUAAACAUUUGGUAUAGAUACUAUAACGUUAUCCAAACAGGAAUGCAAGUAAAUGUGAUGGGAUUUGCAUUUCAAUUCUUCUCAUUUUUCUGCUACAGACUCCUAAAGGACCUGACUAAUCAUACCUCAAUGAUUCAUGUAUUACUUGAUGUUUCUCUAAUGAUUUUGAAAUUAAUCUUUGUAUUUUUUUUAUCAGUUUUAUUGUAUUCUGACCAACUGAGCUUAUAAUUGUGUUUCCCUCUCGUUGGCUGCUGAACUUCACACAUUUUGUAAUUAUGACUUUUACAUUUUUUAGUUUGUUCUAUGCUCAGUAGGUUGCUGGACUAAUUGUUGUUCUUUGUACCUUCCAAACAAGAAUAUAAUUAAAAAAAUAAAUUAUAUGAAACUAUAUUAGGUUAUCUGAGGUCUAGGAAAUAUUCUCAGUGAGUACAAACCCGGCCAGAGUUAUAUGUACCUAAGAUGCACUUUAAUAGACAUUUUAUUUAAAAAACUCGUUAGGAUGGCAUGAGAAGGUAUAUUUACAUUUACACGUACACCUGAAGGGAUGAGUGUUUGAAAAUAUAAACAAUUUGCAUAGUAAUGUUUAUUAUCUAUGUUUCAAAUUUACACUUAAUUAAUAUGUGGGUUUCAUUAGCUUUUUCCACCUGCAUAAUUCAGUAUCUUUAUCUUUCACUAUGACCAGGUAGACUUUUUUCGAGGAAGUUCACCAUCCCUCUGCCCCCAGGUUUUUAUCUCCAGU